This 250-nucleotide unclassified non-coding RNA is filed under the name Glomeromycotina sp. Its description in RNAcentral is "partial contains small subunit ribosomal RNA, internal transcribed spacer 1, and 5.8S ribosomal RNA". The stretch from base 1 to 47 matches the Rfam family "Eukaryotic small subunit ribosomal RNA", at positions 1785 to 1831 of the family's 1831-position model. Lineage: Eukaryota; Fungi; Glomeromycota. The record is from RNAcentral.
AAAGUCGUAACAAGGUUUCCGUAGGUGAACCUGCGGAAGGAUCAUUAUUAUUUGGGUCGGGUUUACUUCUAGUAACUUGUUCAAUUGUCUGGAUCUCGAUAUUUAAGAAGUAAACUUUUACCAAAUAAUCCUAUUAAUUUCCUAAAUAGGAGCAAGAUAAACUUAUUUAAAACCCCACUCUUAAAAUGUUUAUACGUAUUUUAAAUGAUAAAAUUAAAGAUCACUUUCAACAACGGAUCUCUUGGCUCUC